RNAcentral lists this ribosomal RNA (215 nucleotides) under uncultured bacterium. Its description in RNAcentral is "partial 16S ribosomal RNA". It matches the Rfam family "Bacterial small subunit ribosomal RNA", at positions 1287 to 1500 of the family's 1533-position model. The record is from RNAcentral.
CCCAGUUCGGAUUGUAGUCUGNAACCCGACUACAUGAAGCUGGAAUCGCUAGUAAUCGCGGAUCAGAAUGCCGCGGUGAAUACGUUCCCGGGUCUUGUACACACCGCCCGUCACACCAUGGGAGUCGGAAAUGCCCGAAGUCUGUGACCCAACCAUUAAGGAGGGAGCAGCCGAAGGCAGGUCGGAUGACUGGGGCGAAGUCGUAACAAGGUAAC